GGGCCCAUAGCUCAGUUGGUUAGAGCAGUGGACUCAUAAUCCAUUGGUCGUAGGUUCAAGUCCUACUGGGCCCA
RNAcentral lists this transfer RNA (74 nucleotides) under Spirochaetaceae bacterium. RNAcentral's name for it is "tRNA-Ile". It matches the Rfam family "tRNA". From Rfam's summary of the family: Transfer RNA (tRNA) molecules are approximately 80 nucleotides in length. The record is from RNAcentral. Lineage: Bacteria; Pseudomonadati; Spirochaetota; Spirochaetia; Spirochaetales; Spirochaetaceae. RNAcentral also lists the same sequence under 3 other names.